Molecule: long non-coding RNA, 2472 nt
Organism: Thunnus maccoyii (southern bluefin tuna)
Lineage: Eukaryota; Metazoa; Chordata; Actinopteri; Scombriformes; Scombridae
Exons: 4
Source: RefSeq, a predicted model, not a curated record
UUAUUAAAAACGUAAAUAUUAAUUCAAACAUAUUAAGUAUACAUGUAAACACAUAAGUUCAUUUUGUUCAAAAUACCAAGUCUUCAAGUCCUUACAGGUUUUCACAUAAUCUGAUCACUUUCUGGUCUGUGUCAUUAAAAAUGCCAAACGCUUAGAGGGCACAGCAGCGUAUUCUGUGUUUCCUGAAUAUCAUUUCAGGGGCUAAUGAGUAGUCACCAGAGGAGAGAGAUACACAAGCUACACUGAGAACACAAUGUUCAACAAACUGACAGAAAAGAAAUGAAUGAGAGAGAGACCCAGACAGAGAAAGAGGCGUUAUCAGAUGCAUUUUAGACAGCAUGUAACCCAAUGGAACGGCUUUGCUUUAGAGAGGCUGCCUUGACCUUUUCAGUAUUCAUCACCAGAUUGCAUCUCCAGCCCCUAAACCAAUCAGCACUGUGGAAUUUCCAGGUCAGCGUAACCACCUCAAAGUAAAGGUCAAUAUGGAGCAUCCAGGUUCCGCAAUAACUUGGAGAUGGUGCAUGGCGAAGAGGUUUAUCUACCUGGCAAAUGACAUAUUACCCCACCGUGGCUUGAGUCCCUUUUAGUCCACUGCGGGACUAUGUUGGCUGGCUGCAGAAAAAGAUACAUGGACAAGGAGGGGCUGUUUACAGCCAAUUUCUGGGCCUGGUGACAGUAAGUGAUGGAUGAGCUGACACCAUUGUCAAAGCAGUAACGGAGGUCCUCACAAAAAAGAACAUUCCCAUCCAGAAGAUUUAUGGCCUGAAGACAGAUGGAGCAGUUGUCAUGACUGGGAGAGAGAGUGGGGUGGCCAUGCAGCUACAGGACACCUUCCCAUGGUUGGUGUCAGUUGCAUGUGCCCCACACCACCUCGCCCUGUGCUGUAAGGACGUUUCAUCAGGAGUGGCUUAUAUGGACUACUUCAGGGACAUUUUACAGCAGCUACACCUAUACCUUAGGAACAGUGCUAAUGGCACAGCUGGACUCUGGGCUCCAGCAGAGUGCUUGGGCAUGGAUAACCUGAAAGUGAAGGUAUCAUAAAGGGAAAAAAUAUCUAUUCCAUAUUUGGAGGCUGUUGCAAGCCAUGGCCAUUUCCAACCUGCAGCAACACCUGAGCACUGUCCUGGUGGCCUUGGCCAAGAAAACUGAGCUUAAGAAAUGGCCAACAGCCAAGGCGUUGUACAGCCUACUGAUCACCCAUUGUUUUGUGGCAUCGGUGCACCUGCAAGUGGAUGUGCUACCACAUCUCAGCAGGCUGACGAAAGUGUUCCGGAAGGAAAAUGUGAACUUCGUGGCUCUGAAAGUUCAAGUACCCUCCAGUAUUUUAUUUCUGACACCACUGACCAUACAUUGCUCAUACUAACCAGAUACCUGCAGUUGCAUUUACACCUUAUGUUAUUAGGUCCCUGUAACAAUGGCCUGCCUCUGAGCAAUUAAGGAUGCUGGAGACUGUCAGCCAACUGGGUCUUUCCUGUCAAAGCUCGACCCAGACCUGGACAACCCUGCUGGACUCAGGGCUUAUAAUAUUGUCCAUGAGGAGGAGAGGAACAAGAGAGGUAGACAUGAAGAGGGACUGACUAGGGAUGAGCUCUGGGCCCAGUUCAGGAGCCAAGUGAUGGAUCCAUAUACUGAUGGCCUACUGGAGAGCCUGAGGAGGAGGUUUCAAAACCUGAACCUUUUAGGCCUUCCAUGUGCUCAUCCCUCGGGCAGCAGCUGAUGAUAAGACAGUUAACGUGGCCAAUUUGCAGCUCCUUGCUGGCAAAUUUUUACAGAGCCAUGAGGUGCUGCAGGAAUGGCCUUCUUUCAAGCAGCAGAUGCUAGAUGGGGCAUUCAACGUAUCAUGAAAUGAAUUACAGUGAGUCAUAUGCCUUUUCACAAGUUUUCUAGCCUAGAUUGAUGGUUGUGUUUAAUUUGUUUCAGGACAUGGAUCAGCAGCACCUGAUGUAGUGCCUUGCAUCAGAAGUGGGUGAAUGGGGGCAGCUCUACCCAUCACUGAGCAAGCUGGAGGCCAUUGGCCUGACCACCCCAGUUUCCAGUCCCAUAUCCACUCCUCUGUUGAUUAUUAUUUUUGUAUUUACAGUUGAAGACUGACCGCAGAAAUCGUUUACAGGGGGAACACCUUGCCACUUGUAUGCACUUGAGCAUCAAUGGCCCCCCAACAAGAGAGUUUCCUUUUGGGAGAGCCUUAGAGCUAUUCUUUCAGAGCCCUCAAAAGAUCAAAUGCUCUCAGACACGAUGCCAACUAUGCCACCACUAAGGCUUUGUUUUAGACCCACCUUGAACCUUGAGUGUUUGGGGACGAGAAUAGGAUAGGGUAGGGAGCUUAAAGAAGUGGAAGGAAGGGAAUGGAGGGGACGGCAGAAAGGUUGGGAAGGCCAGAGGUGUGAACGAUGGGUAGUAUUUGUAGUAUUUGUUAUGUGAUGUUACUGUAUAUGGGUGGUUGUUGAUAUAAUAAAUUUUUUGUUCAAUAAA